AACGAACGCUGGCGGCAUGCCUAACACAUGCAAGUCGAACGGGAUCCUAGCUUGCUAGGUGAGAGUGGCGGACGGGUGAGUAACACGUGGGAAUCUGCCUUUUGGUUCGGGAUAACCGCGGGAAACUGCGGCUAAUACCGAAUGCCCUCGAGAGAGGAAAGAUUUAUCGCCAGAAGAGGAGCCCGCGUCCGAUUAGGUAGUUGGUGGGGUAAAGGCCUACCAAGCCGACGAUCGGUAGCUGGUCUGAGAGGAUGAUCAGCCACAUUGGGACUGAGACACGGCCCAAACUCCUACGGGAGGCAGCAGUGGGGAAUAUUGGACAAUGGGCGCAAGCCUGAUCCAGCCAUGCCGCGUGAGUGAUGAAGGCCCUAGGGUUGUAAAGCUCUUUCACCGGUGAAGAUAAUGACGGUAACCGGAGAAGAAGCCCCGGCUAACUUCGUGCCAGCAGCCGCGGUAAU
This 458-nucleotide ribosomal RNA is filed under the name uncultured bacterium. RNAcentral describes it as "bacterial SSU rRNA". It matches the Rfam family "Bacterial small subunit ribosomal RNA", at positions 29 to 524 of the family's 1533-position model. The record is from RNAcentral.